RNAcentral lists this ribosomal RNA (434 nucleotides) under uncultured organism. RNAcentral describes it as "bacterial SSU rRNA". It matches the Rfam family "Bacterial small subunit ribosomal RNA", at positions 346 to 794 of the family's 1533-position model. The record is from RNAcentral.
GUGCAGCAGGCGAGAAUUUUUCACAAUGGGGGAAACCCUGAUGGAGCGACGCCGCGUGGAGGAUGAAGGCCUUUUGGUCGUAAACUCCUGUCAAACGGGAACAAGAAAGUGAUAGUACCGUUAGAGGAAGAGACGGCUAACUCUGUGCCAGCAGCCGCGGUAAUACAGAGGUCUCAAGCGUUGUUCGGAUUCAUUGGGCGUAAAGGGUGCGUAGGUGGCAUGGUAAGUUGAAGGUGAAAUCUCGGAGCUUAACUCCGAAACUGCCUUCAAUACUGCUGUGCUUGAGGACUGUAGAGGAGAAUGGAAUUCAUGGUGUAGCAGUGAAAUGCGUAGAUAUCAUGAGGAAGACCAGUGGCGAAGGCGAUUCUCUGGGCAGUUCCUGACACUGAGGCACGAAGGCUAGGGGAGCAAACGGGAUUAGAUACCCCGGUAGU